AUCCAGCCGACGAGUCCCAAGUAGGACGACACACGCAUCCUGGAU
Molecule: non-coding RNA, 45 nt
Filed under: Schistosoma mansoni
Lineage: Eukaryota; Metazoa; Platyhelminthes; Trematoda; Strigeidida; Schistosomatidae
Source: RNAcentral